RNAcentral lists this ribosomal RNA (491 nucleotides) under uncultured bacterium. RNAcentral describes it as "partial 16S ribosomal RNA". It matches the Rfam family "Bacterial small subunit ribosomal RNA", at positions 29 to 507 of the family's 1533-position model. The record is from RNAcentral.
GUGAACGCUGGCGGUAGGCCUAACACAUGCAAGUCGCACGGCAGCACAGUAAGAGCUUGCUCUUCCGGGUGGCGAGUGGCGGACGGGUGAGGAAUACAUCGGAAUCUACUUUUUCGUGGGGGAUAACGUAGGGAAACUUACGCUAAUACCGCAUACGACCUACGGGUGAAAGCAGGGGAUCUUCGGACCUUGCGCGAUUGAAUGAGCCGAUGUCGGAUUAGCUAGUUGGCGGGGUAAAGGCCCACCAAGGCGACGAUCCGUAGCUGGUCUGAGAGGAUGAUCAGCCACACUGGAACUGAGACACGGUCCAGACUCCUACGGGAGGCAGCAGUGGGGAAUAUUGGACAAUGGGCGCAAGCCUGAUCCAGCCAUACCGCGUGGGUGAAGAAGGCCUUCGGGUUGUAAAGCCCUUUUGUUGGGAAAGAAAAGCAGCAGGUUAAUACCCCGCUGUUCUGACGGUACCCAAAGAAUAAGCACCGGCUGACUUCGUG